Hermetia illucens (black soldier fly) is the source of this 498-nucleotide long non-coding RNA. RefSeq lists it as uncharacterized. The transcript is spliced from 3 exons. NCBI's taxonomy places the organism in Eukaryota, Metazoa, Arthropoda, Insecta, Diptera, Stratiomyidae. The record is from RefSeq and is a predicted model, not a curated record.
UGAUAUUUCAAUAUACAUACAUAUAUUAGUAUUUGUGAUGUGUGAUAACUGUUUGGAAACUUGCAUGCAAUGCAUGGGAUAAACAGAGAUCAGCACUGGACUGGAUGAGAGAAUCUAUUGGGUAAACAUUUAUUAGCUUUUUCGAAAAGAAUUGAAGAUAAUAUUUAGAUUAAGGGGUUGGAAGAUAAUUAAAUGAUCAUUCGACUUGGCAGAGGCAUACGGCUGCUAACUCGAAAUUCAAGUGGAAGCAAAUGAAUGCACUAAUCCAAGCAGCAGAUUUUCGAGCGAACUGAAGACAGAGUUAGGUGACUGUCGAAAUCUCAAACAAUGUUUUUUUCGAUGCAGAAUAAAUGCCCAAAGAAUGAAAUUCUCAAAGGAUUCAGGCGAGGAAAAUGUGUAAAUACAGUACACUCUUGAUAAUUUGACAGUUAUGGAAUUACCAAAAGUGUCUGAAUUUUUCAAUUUAGUUUCCAAAAAUAUGUAUUAAUUAGGUAUGUA